This is a long non-coding RNA of Homo sapiens (human), 921 nucleotides long. RefSeq annotates it as family with sequence similarity 30 member B. The transcript has 3 exons. The record is from RefSeq and is a predicted model, not a curated record. NCBI's taxonomy places the organism in Eukaryota, Metazoa, Chordata, Mammalia, Primates, Hominidae.
UGGAGACACAGGCCCCAUCCUUCCCAAUGGGGACACUUCAGGGAGUGGCUCUCAGGUCCCGAGAAAGACCUUCCUGGCCACAGGAGACACACAGACAUCAGGAAGGGACAGAGGAAGGAUGUGCAGUUGCAGCCUUUUCAGCAGAUGCUCUGAGAAUGGGAGGUCAAGAGUUGGAGCAAACGGUCAGUUCUGACAGGGCCUCAGACCUAAGGCAGGAGCACCCCCUACACCAGACCUCCUGGGUCACAGGAAAUGCACAGACAUCGGGAAGGGACGGAGGAUGGACGGAGGAAGGACGUGCAGUUGCAGCUCUUUCUGCAGAUGCCCUGAGAGAGGAGCAAGAAGGUCCUUGCCAGAUGCUCCUGGACUUGCUUUGGACUUUCCCUUGCUCUUGGACUUGCUCUGGCACCUUGCUCUUGGACUUCACAGCCUCUAGAACUGUGAGAAAUAAAUUUCCGUUCAGUAUAAACUUCCCAGUCUUGGGUGUUCUAUUACAACAUCACAAAACAGUCUAAGACAACCCCGUAUUCAGACCUAAGGUGAGAUAACCCCUACCCAUAUCUAAGGAUCCCCUGCUCCAGAUCUUAGUGGUGAGGUCAAUACAGGACUCCCUCUGAGGGAAGCCCUGACAGCAGUGCCUGGGAAGGCAUCUGUAGGGCCCAGUGGGCCGGGGAGGCCCAGGACACACCUACAUCAUCUCUCAUAAUCCCUCCAUUCUGUUAUAACAGGAGCAUAUGCUUAUAGCAUACUUUAAAAAUCAGCCCAAAACUGAAGGUAAGCAUCAGUUAAUUGAUGGACUCCUUUUCACGGUUUGGUCUUUGUAUUUACACCACAGUCAUCUCACAGUGUGUGUUGAGCUUUGCACCCUUUUAUCAAAUGAGGUCACCCCAUGAAUGCUGGCUGUCACGUUAUCACAGAUAU